RNAcentral lists this small RNA (187 nucleotides) under Arabidopsis thaliana (thale cress). RNAcentral describes it as "ATSL281260". The record is from RNAcentral. Lineage: Eukaryota; Viridiplantae; Streptophyta; Magnoliopsida; Brassicales; Brassicaceae.
UUUUUGUGAAAUCCUUCCAGAGUUUCGUCGUUACCUUUCUGUUUUUUUUUUGCGGGAAAAAUUUGACGGAUAUUUUUUGGCGGGAAAAUGUUUACAAAAAAAUUUUGGCGGGAAAAUUUGUUACGAAACUUUUUUGUCGAGAAAAUUUGACGGAAUGUUUUUUGGCGGAAAAUAUUUACUUUUAUUU